GACGAACGCUGGCGGCGUGCUUAACACAUGCAAGUCGAGCGGUAAGGCCCUUUCGGGGGUACACGAGCGGCGAACGGGUGAGUAACACGUGGGUGACCUGCCCUCAGCUCUGGGAUAAGCCUGGGAAACCGGGUCUAAUACUGGAUAUGACUCCAUGACGCAUGUUGUGGGGUGGAAAGCCUUGUGCGGCUGAGGAUGGGCCCGCGGCCUAUCAGCUUGUUGGUGGGGNGAUGGCCUACCAAGGCGACGACGGGUAGCCGGCCUGAGAGGGCGACCGGCCACACUGGGACUGAGACACGGCCCAGACUCCUACGGGAGGCAGCAGUGGGGAAUAUUGCGCAAUGGGCGAAAGCCUGACGCAGCGACGCCGCGUGUGGGAUGAC
Molecule: ribosomal RNA, 383 nt
Filed under: uncultured bacterium
Lineage: Bacteria
Description: bacterial SSU rRNA
Rfam family: Bacterial small subunit ribosomal RNA
Source: RNAcentral